UGUCAAUACCAAUCCAAAAUCCGAUAGCAAUUUCUGUUAAUCCGGAAUCCUAUAGGAUAUUAUCCGACAUAAAGGUUAUCGAACGUCAGAAACGAAAAGUUAUGGAAUAUUAUUCAGGAUAUCAUAACGGAACCGGUUGAGCCAGUUUCCGUUACGAUAAGUUCUGAUACCAAUAGGUGAUGCUUCUACAAAACCUACUUCUUCGUUCCCUCAAGUACCCGAUCUUGUUCCUUUCUUCUGUGCCACCUUCACUCUUCCAAAAUCCUCUUAUAGUCAAUAACUCUUUCAAUGUUUUUCUUUGACAUAUGAUUAUGAACUCUCUCACCUUUCCCUAAACUUUGAAGAAGAUGACUAUCUCACAGUUGAUUCAGUUGAUGAUAAAAUUAGUUGUCUUAUGUUGAUUCAGUAUCCUACUUAUUGAUAGUUAAUUCAGUUGUAUGAAUUCAGUAUUUUCCUGAAUCUUGCUUGAUUCAAUUGAUCUUACACGAGUUACGAAAUUAUUUUGAUUAUUAAUUUCAUGAAUUAAGUUUGAUUGAUUAUUGAUCUUCAUGGUGAAGAAUAAUAGAUUCAGUUCUCCGAGUUGAGUGGAUUUUCUGAAUUGGGUUUAUUAAAGUUGUGGAAAACAAAUUUUUUUUUAUUUUUUUUCUGCUUUCGAUUAGGUAUUGAGGUGCAGAUUUUAGUUCUUGGAGUUCACUAAUUCAAUAAUUCUAGAUGGUUGCUGAGAGUGUUUUAACUGAUUUUAAAUUUUAACGGAAUUUGUUGCAAAAAUAUUUAAUAUUUGAUAACCUUAACGAAACAGAACCGCAUAGGAUUUUUAGGAUUCCAUCAGACCACCAACAAAACGGGCCUGAUCUUUCCUCUCUCCAAAACUUCCCUCUCUCCAAAACUAUUCUCUCAACAAAAACACCAACUUUUCGAUCUUUCUCUGCUCAGAUCGGCUCAUUUGGAGAUGAUCUGAGUAGAUUAAUAACCACUAAUCGCUCUACUUUCUCUUGAUCUUUCUUCUAUGGUUUGUUAAUUUAAUUUUAGCUAUCAUUUUGGGUGUACUUUGGGUCAUGGGUUUAUUGAUUGUUUUUCAUCUUUUCUGCUUGGAUUCAUAUCUAUUGGAGCAAUUGUGGGUUGUAAUCAAUCAUAACAAAAAACUCGGAACAUAUCAUCUUCUUCUUCAGGGAAAAUCUGCGAGAAAAUGGAAGCAACAACAACAUCAUGGAUAAAUUCAUCUCCUCCAACUAAGCACAAAAGAAUUGCAGUACAAGACACUUCAUGCAAACUAUAUGGGAAAGAAGAAAAUGAGUCAAACAUCUUCUUCUUCCACUGCGACACAACAAGGGAGGUAUGUCAUUAGAAUUGCAGGAGUAUUUGGCAGAAGAGUUAAAUAGAGUUUUGACAUAAUUCAGAAUAUUAAAUCUAUUAUUAUAAUCUGGUCUUUUAGCUCAGAUAUAUUUCAUUUGGUUCCUACUGCAAUUAUCCUCUUUAAUUGGGAAGAUGUGAUUCUCAAGUUAUAAAACCAGUUGUAAAUCAUAGUAAUGGUUGCAAUCCUUUUAGCCAUAUAUGAUAUAAAACUCUUUGUCAUAAAUAAAUAAAUAUAUAAACUGAAUUCAGUCAGUAAAUUCAGUUAAAUUAA
Long non-coding RNA from Papaver somniferum (opium poppy), 1624 nucleotides. RefSeq lists it as uncharacterized. The transcript is spliced from 2 exons. NCBI's taxonomy places the organism in Eukaryota, Viridiplantae, Streptophyta, Magnoliopsida, Ranunculales, Papaveraceae. The record is from RefSeq and is a predicted model, not a curated record.